CAGUGAGACUGUUUCUUUUGAAUAUGUACCUGCUUCACUCUGGUCUCAGGAGCUCUACAGUAUAAUAAUGGAUUCAUUGUUUUAUUCAUCAUUAGUUAAUACUACACCUGAUGAUCCCUCAACUGCUAAAAGAAUAUCUGAAGCAGCUGUGUCUUGUUUGACUGCAAUGUGUACUAGUCUACCAAUUGAUAUAAAGCAAAACCUCAUUGCAUACAUUGCAUCUAAUGUUAAUAC
Molecule: long non-coding RNA, 234 nt
Organism: Amphimedon queenslandica
Lineage: Eukaryota; Metazoa; Porifera; Demospongiae; Haplosclerida; Niphatidae
Exons: 3
Source: RefSeq, a predicted model, not a curated record